Molecule: ribosomal RNA, 287 nt
Filed under: Escherichia coli
Lineage: Bacteria; Pseudomonadati; Pseudomonadota; Gammaproteobacteria; Enterobacterales; Enterobacteriaceae
Description: partial 23S ribosomal RNA
Rfam family: Bacterial large subunit ribosomal RNA
Source: RNAcentral
CCGGAGAAUGUUAUUACGGGAGACACACGGCGGGCGCUAACGUCCGUCGUGAAGAGGGCAACAACCCAGACCGCCAGCUAAGGUCCCAAAGUCAUGGUUAAGGGGGAAACGAUGUGGGAACGCCCAGACAGCCAGCAUGUUGGCUUAGAAGCAGCCAUCAUUUAAAGAAAGCGUAAGAGAUCACUGUUCGAGUCGGCCUGCGCGGAAGAUGUAACGGCGCUAAACCAUGCCCCGAAGCCGCGGCAGCGCCGCGAUGUGUUGUUGGGUAGGGGCGCGUUCUGUAAGCA